AUGGGUAGCUCGCUAAGUUGAAAACCCGAAAGGGCAGCUUAGGCAAAAAUUAGAGCUUGAAAUAAAUAAAGUUGGAAAAUGUUUGGAAAGCUAAAUGAUAUUCUCAAUUUAAGCUAAAAAGUCAAAUCUCAUUCUAAUAGCAGCCCAAAGUCAGGCAGAAAGCAAUAAAUCCUAACAAAAUAAACAAAUGAUGAAAUCUAAGUCCAAGUCCAAAGAAAAGAAAAAA
This 226-nucleotide long non-coding RNA is filed under the name Jatropha curcas. Its description in RNAcentral is "long non-coding RNA (JCUR_LNC002802)". The record is from RNAcentral. Lineage: Eukaryota; Viridiplantae; Streptophyta; Magnoliopsida; Malpighiales; Euphorbiaceae.